CAGCCGCCACGGGAAUACAGAGGGUGCAAGCGUUAAUCGGAAUUACUGGGCGUAAAGCGCGCGUAGGUGGUUUGUUAAGUUGGAUGUGAAAUCCCCGGGCUCAACCUGGGAACUGCAUCCAAAACUGGCAAGCUAGAGUAUGGUAGAGGGUGGUGGAAUUUCCUGUGUAGCGGUGAAAUGCGUAGAUAUAGGAAGGAACACCAGUGGCGAAGGCGACCACCUGGACUGAUACUGACACUGAGGUGCGAAAGCGUGGGGAGCAAACAGGAUUAGAUACCCGCGUAGUCCCUGUCUCUUAUAA
This 301-nucleotide ribosomal RNA is filed under the name uncultured bacterium. Its description in RNAcentral is "partial 16S ribosomal RNA". It matches the Rfam family "Bacterial small subunit ribosomal RNA", at positions 509 to 809 of the family's 1533-position model. The record is from RNAcentral.